This 253-nucleotide ribosomal RNA is filed under the name uncultured prokaryote. RNAcentral's name for it is "partial 16S ribosomal RNA". It matches the Rfam family "Bacterial small subunit ribosomal RNA", at positions 525 to 777 of the family's 1533-position model. The record is from RNAcentral.
ACAGAGGUCCCGAGCGUUGUUCGGAUUCACUGGGCGUAAAGGGUGCGUAGGUGGCAUGGCAAGUUUGAUGUAAAAGCUCAGGGCUUAACCCUGAAAUGGCAUUGAAUACUGCUGUGCUGGAGGUUUGGAGGGGGGACUGGUAUUCUCGGUGUAGCAGUGAAAUGCGUAGAUAUCAAGAGGAACACCUGAGGUGAAGACGGGUUGCUGGGCUGACACUGACGCUGAGGCGCGAAAGCCAGGGGAGCAAACGGGA